This 524-nucleotide ribosomal RNA is filed under the name uncultured bacterium. RNAcentral's name for it is "partial 16S ribosomal RNA". It matches the Rfam family "Bacterial small subunit ribosomal RNA", at positions 28 to 523 of the family's 1533-position model. The record is from RNAcentral.
GACGAACGCUGGCGGCGUGCCUAAUACGUGCAAGUCGAACGAAGCUUUUUUAACUGGUGCUUGCACCGACUUAAACAACUGAGUGGCGAACGGGUGAGUAACACGUGGGUAACCUGCCCCAAAGCGGGGGAUAACAUUUGGAAACAGAUGCUAAUACCGCAUAACCACAGAAACCACAUGGUUUCUGUGUCAAAGAUGGUUUCGGCUAUCACUUUGGGAUGGACCCGCGGCGUAUUAGCUAGUUGGUAAGGUAAUGGCUUACCAAGGCAAUGAGACGUAGCCGAACUGAGAGGUUGAUCGGCCACAUUGGGACUGAGACACGGCCCAAACUCCUACGGGAGGCAGCAGUAGGGAAUCUUCCACAAUGGACGAAAGUCUGAUGGAGCAACGCCGCGUGAGUGAAGAAGGUUUUCGGAUCGUAAAACUCUGUUGUCAGAGAAGAACGUGUGCGAGAGUAACUGUUCGUGCAGUGACGGUAUCUGGCCAGAAAGCCACGGCUAACUACGUGCCAGCCGCCGCCGUAA